UCGCCUGUUUUUUCAAAAACAUUUCUAUUAGAAAUUUUUAAUAGUAAAGUCUGCUCAAUGAACAUUAAAUAGCCGCAAUUUAGUGCUAAGGUAGCAUAAUAAUUUGUCUUUUAAAUGAAGACUAGAACAAAAGACUUAACUUUUUAAUUAAUUUCUUAUUACUAACCAUUAAAUUUAUCUUAAGAGUUAAAAGACUUUUAUUUAUAAAAAAGACGACAAGACCCUAUUGAACUUAACUUAAGUUAUACUGGGGCAGUAAAUUAAUUAUAAUUUUAAUUAAAAUAAAUAUACAAAAAGCCUAAUAUAAGAUAAUUCAGUUACCAUAGGGAUAACAGCGUAAUUAAAUUUAAGAGCCCUUAUCCUAAAUAUAGAUUACGACCUCGAUGUUGAAUUAAUAUCCUAAUGAAGUAAAUAUAAAAUUAGGAAGUCUGUUCGACUUUUUAAUAAUUACCUGAUCUGAUUCCAGACCGGA
Molecule: ribosomal RNA, 472 nt
Filed under: Rhene atrata
Lineage: Eukaryota; Metazoa; Arthropoda; Arachnida; Araneae; Salticidae
Description: partial 16S ribosomal RNA
Rfam family: Archaeal large subunit ribosomal RNA
Source: RNAcentral